This 253-nucleotide ribosomal RNA is filed under the name uncultured bacterium. RNAcentral describes it as "partial 16S ribosomal RNA". It matches the Rfam family "Bacterial small subunit ribosomal RNA", at positions 524 to 776 of the family's 1533-position model. The record is from RNAcentral.
UACGGAGGGGGCUAGCGUUGUUCGGAAUUACUGGGCGUAAAGCGCACGUAGGCGGCUUUGCAAGUUAGAGGUGAAAGCCCGGGGCUCAACUCCGGAAUUGCCUUUAAAACUGCAUCGCUAGAAUUGUGGAGAGGUAAGUGGAAUUCCGAGUGUAGAGGUGAAAUGCGUAGAGAUUAGGAAGAACACCAGUGGCGAAGGCGACUUACUGGACUGUAACUGACGCUGAGGCAUGAAAGCGUGGGGAGCAAACAGG